UCUAAGGCUCCUGUAAUUGUUGAGCUUGCCCAGAUCCUUUCCUUGGAUAAACCAGCUUUGCAGGGAAUGAAGCUGUCACGGACAGCAGCUUCAUACAAGAUGAUCCAUGGUCUAGGGCGGACAUACUCUGAGAGGACCUUUUCCAACAUGAAGAGA
This is a long non-coding RNA of Osmerus eperlanus (European smelt), 156 nucleotides long. RefSeq lists it as uncharacterized. NCBI's taxonomy places the organism in Eukaryota, Metazoa, Chordata, Actinopteri, Osmeriformes, Osmeridae. The record is from RefSeq and is a predicted model, not a curated record. The transcript is spliced from 2 exons.